Molecule: long non-coding RNA, 1038 nt
Organism: Cyprinus carpio (common carp)
Lineage: Eukaryota; Metazoa; Chordata; Actinopteri; Cypriniformes; Cyprinidae
Source: Ensembl
AUGAUCAGACAUCAUUGCUUUAUGAAGACUGCUGAAGAAAAAUUACAAGAGGAACUUCUUGGACUCCAUCUGGUUGAAUGCUUUUUUCCCAUUCACACCCUUCCAGUUGAUCCUCCUCCCAACGUCAUCAUGGAACAUGCAGGGAAGGAUGUUCCAUGUGACACGUUUUGUGUCAUGGCCCCCAACAGUUGCAAGGGAAGAAAUCUAAAAUGUAACAAAAAUCCUGUCAAUUUCUUAUAUAUUAAAGGGUUAGUUCACCCAAAAAUGAAAAUUCUGUCAUUAAUUACUCACCCUCAUGUUGUUCUACACCCGUAAGGCCUUCAUUCAACUUCGGAACACAAAUUAAGAUAUUUUGAUUAAAUCCGAUGGCAUAGUGAGGCCUGCAUUCAAAGCAAUGACAUUUCCUCUCUCAAGAUCCAUAAAGGUACUAAAAACAUAUUUAAUGUGAGUUCAGUGGUUCUACCUAAAUAUUAUAAAAGCAACGAGAAUUAUUGUGCACCAAAAAACAAAACGACUUUUCAACAAUAUAGUGAUGGGCUAAUUUCAAAACACUGCUUCGGAUCUUUACCAAUUGAAUCAGUAACUCGGAUCUCCUAUCAAACGGCUAAACUGCUGAAAUCACGUGACAUUGGUGCUCCGAGUCACUGAUUCGAUUCGUAAAGCUCCGAAGCUGUGUUUUGAAAUCGGCCCAUCACUAUAUUGUAGGAAAGUCAUUAUUUUGUUUUUUUGCCGCACAAAAAGUGUUCUUGUCGCUUUAUAAUAUUAAGAUUGAACCACUGAACUAACAUGAACUGUUUUAAAUAUGUUUUUAGUACCUUUAUAGAUCUUGAGAGAGGAAAUGUCAUUUCUUUUAAUGCAGGCCUCACUGAGCCAUAGGAUUUAAUCAAAAUAUCUUAAUUUGUGUUCGAAGAUCAACCAAGGUCUUACGGGUGUAGAACGCCAUAAGGGGGAUAAAUGAAUGACAUUUUCAUUUUUGGGUGAACUAACACUUUAACAGAGGGAAAUAAAUGUCCCCUGUGCCAUAUAUUUGAUGUUUAG